This 69-nucleotide transfer RNA is filed under the name Hyporhamphus quoyi. Its description in RNAcentral is "tRNA-Phe". It matches the Rfam family "tRNA". Rfam says of the family: Transfer RNA (tRNA) molecules are approximately 80 nucleotides in length. Their secondary structure includes four short double-helical elements and three loops (D, anti-codon, and T loops). The record is from RNAcentral. Lineage: Eukaryota; Metazoa; Chordata; Actinopteri; Beloniformes; Hemiramphidae.
GCUAGCGUAGCUUAAUAAAGCAUAACUCUGAAGAUGUUAAGAUAAACCUUAGACUGGUUUCGCAAGCAC